AUUUAUUGUAUUUUUAAAGGAGGGCAUUGAUCCAGAGGUGUGGGCGUAUCAAAGUGUACAAUCUAAUAUCAGUAGCAGGCCAGCAUCAGGGAGUGUAUGGAUUCCCAUUCUGUCUAGGAGAGACCAGCUGGUUCUGUGAUUUAUUCAGACAGUUCCUAAGCAUUGGAGUAUACCUCACCAUAUUUCAAGACAAUAUAGUCCAAGCUUCAUAUUGGCAUGAUCCUCAUGAUGAAGAAAGCUAUCAGUUGGAUUCACUCUUUCUCUCUGAUAUCAAUCAAGAGCUGGUUUUUAAUCCAUCAUAUAAGGAGAGGCUUUCCAGUAUCAGUAACUUUCUAUUGAUAAAGUUUGAGACCGACAUGAUGGUCCAGCCAAGAGAGACACAAGUAAUAAAUUAUUCACCUCAAA
This is a long non-coding RNA of Amphimedon queenslandica, 405 nucleotides long. RefSeq lists it as uncharacterized. NCBI's taxonomy places the organism in Eukaryota, Metazoa, Porifera, Demospongiae, Haplosclerida, Niphatidae. The transcript has 3 exons. The record is from RefSeq and is a predicted model, not a curated record.